RNAcentral lists this ribosomal RNA (460 nucleotides) under uncultured bacterium. RNAcentral describes it as "partial 16S ribosomal RNA". It matches the Rfam family "Bacterial small subunit ribosomal RNA", at positions 338 to 795 of the family's 1533-position model. The record is from RNAcentral.
CCUACGGGCGGCAGCAGUGAGGAAUAUUGGUCAAUGGGCGAGAGCCUGAACCAGCCAAGCCGCGUGAAGGAUGAAGGAUCUAUGGUUUGUAAACUUCUUUUAUAUGGGAAUAAAGUGAGGAACGUGUUCCUGUUUGUAUGUACCAUAUGAAUAAGGAUCGGCUAACUCCGUGCCAGCAGCCGCGGUAAUACGGAGGAUCCGAGCGUUAUCCGGAUUUAUUGGGGUUAAAGGGAGCGUAGGCGGAUUGUUAAGUCAGUUGUGAAAGUUUGCGGCUCAACCGUAAAAUUGCAGUUGAAACUGGCAGUCUUGAGUACAGUAGAGGUGGGCGGAAUUCGUGGUGUAGCGGUGAAAUGCUUAGAUAUCACGCAGAACUCCGAUUGCGAAGGCGGCUCACUGGACUGCAACUGACGCUGAGGCUCGAAAGUGUGGGUAGCAAACAGGAUUAGAUACCCUUGUAGUC